RNAcentral lists this microRNA (21 nucleotides) under Capitella teleta. Its description in RNAcentral is "cte-miR-993". Its record names the gene cte-miR-993. The record is from miRBase by way of RNAcentral. Lineage: Eukaryota; Metazoa; Annelida; Polychaeta; Capitellidae.
GAAGCUCUGUUCUACAGGUAU